Molecule: unclassified non-coding RNA, 322 nt
Filed under: Hevea brasiliensis (rubber tree)
Lineage: Eukaryota; Viridiplantae; Streptophyta; Magnoliopsida; Malpighiales; Euphorbiaceae
Source: RNAcentral
AAUUGAGGGGCGGAUGAAAUUCUAUGAAGAUAAAUUGGUCGAGCAGGCUCAUGUUCUUGAAGAAGCUCGGGCGCUCCAAGCUGCUGAAGUCACUCGUCUCACUGAAGAACUCAGAGCAAAAGAAGAAGAGGCAGUGACGAGGGAGGCGGUUGCUUAUGUGAACGCCCAUGGGGACCUUUUGGCCGAGCUCAAGAAGCGUUAUCCCGAGGAAGACUUCUCCUGGAUGGUCGACCUGGCUCCCCAAGACGAAGAGGAAAGCGAGGAGGAGGCCGAGGGUGAGAGAGGGAGCGAACAAAAUGUAGAUCAGGCUGGGGGUGAUCCC